Molecule: ribosomal RNA, 640 nt
Filed under: Adesha sp. RDB-2000
Lineage: Eukaryota; Metazoa; Arthropoda; Insecta; Hymenoptera; Braconidae
Description: eukaryotic LSU rRNA
Rfam family: Eukaryotic large subunit ribosomal RNA
Source: RNAcentral
CCUGAGAAACCCAAAAGAUCGAUUGGGGAGAUUCAUCGUCAGCUCAUUUUGUAUAUAUGCAAGUUAUGAUAUGGGUUACUACUUGUAGUAUUGCCUAUACAUUCUUGUAUAUUUCUUUGCAAGAUGUUGUCGGCGUGCACUUCUCCCCUAGUAGGACGUCGCGACCCGUUGAGUAUCAAUCUACGGCCCAGGUGGAAGAUUUUAAUGAAUUUUUUAAAUUUUAUUAAAAACCCUUGGUGUUUCCUGAUUGAUAUUCGUCGGUAAUCAUAUGGUAUUGAGCCGCAAAUUUUUGCGUCCAUAUCCAUCACAAGCGCGUAUUAAUUACUAAUAGUACGGACUUAGUGCUGUCGUUGGUAUUAAUCAGCUGUUGGUUGUAUGGAAUUCUAGGACUGGCUUAUUUAUAUUUAAUACUGGUCAGCGAUGCUACUGCUUUGGGUACUUUCAGGACCCGUCUUGAAACACGGACCAAGGAGUCUAACAUGUACGCGAGUCAUUGGGAUAUUUAAAAAAUUAAACCUAAAGGCGUAAUGAAAGUAAAGGUCGAUCUUGUAUUGACUAAGGGAGGAUAAAUUAAAUUUUUAAAAUUUAUUUUCGCACUCCUGGGGCGUCUCAUUCUCAUUAUGAGAAGARGCGCACCUAG